This 274-nucleotide ribosomal RNA is filed under the name uncultured bacterium. RNAcentral's name for it is "partial 16S ribosomal RNA". It matches the Rfam family "Bacterial small subunit ribosomal RNA", at positions 523 to 796 of the family's 1533-position model. The record is from RNAcentral.
AUACAGAGGGUGCGAGCGUUAAUCGGAAUUACUGGGCGUAAAGGGUGCGUAGGUGGAUUGGAAAGUUGGAUGUGAAAGCUCUGGGCUUAACCUAGAAAUUGCAUUCAAAACUUCCAGUCUAGAGUACAGUAGAGGGUAGUGGAAUUUCCGGUGUAGCGGUGAAAUGCGUAGAGAUCGGAAGGAACAUCAGUGGCGAAGGCGACUUCCUGGACUGAUACUGACACUGAGGCACGAAAGCGUGGGGAGCGAACAGGAUUAGAAACCCCAGUAGUCC